CGUGAAAUCCUUUUUUUGGAAUGUGGCAGAAUAGAGUACGAAAUGUAAAGACUUAACGCAGUAGCCUUCUUUUACAGUUUUAGCAUACUCUGUUUACAGAAGACCUGGUUUUUUUGUUUUUUUGUUUUUUUUACUGUAAAAUAAGUUUAUUAGUAGUAAGGUGAUAGAAUUUAUUCCCGAUAUCUGAUGUUACAACCUUUAGGGUCCUUGAGAUAUGCAGGAUCCUUGUAUGUAACUGACAUAAACCCCAUUAUUUGAGCUCUCUUAAUUGCUUUCGUGAUUUCUUUCUGUUUCUUCCCACAAAGACCAGGUCCUCGUUGCUGGAUACCUGUUUAUAUUGUGAACAACCUCUUCUCCAAAGCACCGUGUGAGUCCCGGAAUGUGUAAGGCUGACAGCAGCCGUUACCAGGUGUGUCAACUUCUUCCUCCCUAGACCACCGCAAACAGCAACCAUAGCGGCCGUGGUUCCGCAUUUCUUCCACUUCCUUUCAUCCCAAAUGUCAAUUCCUACUCUCUACAGCAACAGUUAAAAAAACAGGUUGAAAAAAAUACAGUGCUCUCCUGUGUUUGGGCAAACAGGAAUCAGGCCACCCUGACCUCAUGGUCCCGCGGAUGCUGCCAGGAAGCCCGAAAACUCCAUCCAAAGCUGCUGAGACAGAAUCUUUGGCAGAGCUGAAAGGAAGCUGAAAGGAGCGGUGCCGGGAGUUCCUGCCCAAAAAGGGGUGAGCACGGCACUUGGCAAACACGCAGCAUGUAUUAUGUGCUGAGUUAACACCCCUUAGUGUCAUUAUUAGCACUUUCAGAAAUAGCCAGCAAAGCUAUUUAGAGAGGGGGUUAAAAAAAACACCACCAAAACCUUUAACUUACUCCAAUAUUACUUCAGGUGCAUUAAUACUUUUAAAACCUAAAUUGUAGUCUUUCUACUUGUUGUUAAGUCAUCAUUAUUCUUCAGACUCAAAUUCUGGCAGUUCCUUGUUGAUAUAUUCCUUCGGUGUUUCUUUGGCAUUGCUGUUGAGUCUCAGAUCCCACAUUGGAGGAUCAGCUGCUACGAGGUGUAAUAUGAGGGUUAAGUGAAAGCAAACCCCAGGGUCUUACGUGACCCCAGCAGGCU
Molecule: long non-coding RNA, 1111 nt
Filed under: Homo sapiens (human)
Lineage: Eukaryota; Metazoa; Chordata; Mammalia; Primates; Hominidae
Description: non-protein coding lnc-ERI1-6:1
Source: RNAcentral